RNAcentral lists this ribosomal RNA (1406 nucleotides) under Clavibacter michiganensis subsp. michiganensis. RNAcentral's name for it is "bacterial SSU rRNA". It matches the Rfam family "Bacterial small subunit ribosomal RNA". Lineage: Bacteria; Bacillati; Actinomycetota; Actinomycetes; Micrococcales; Microbacteriaceae. The record is from RNAcentral.
CGCUACCAUGCAGUCGAACGGUGAUGUCAGAGCUUGCUCUGGCGGAUCAGUGGCGAACGGGUGAGUAACACGUGAGUAACCUGCCCCCGACUCUGGGAUAACUGCUAGAAAUGGUAGCUAAUACCGGAUAUGACGAUUGGCCGCAUGGUCUGGUCGUGGAAAGAAUUUCGGUUGGGGAUGGACUCGCGGCCUAUCAGGUUGUUGGUGAGGUAAUGGCUCACCAAGCCUACGACGGGUAGCCGGCCUGAGAGGGUGACCGGCCACACUGGGACUGAGACACGGCCCAGACUCCUACGGGAGGCAGCAGUGGGGAAUAUUGCACAAUGGGCGAAAGCCUGAUGCAGCAACGCCGCGUGAGGGAUGACGGCCUUCGGGUUGUAAACCUCUUUUAGUAGGGAAGAAGCGAAAGUGACGGUACCUGCAGAAAAAGCACCGGCUAACUACGUGCCAGCAGCCGCGGUAAUACGUAGGGUGCAAGCGUUGUCCGGGAAUUAUUGGGCGUAAAGAGCUCGUAGGCGGUUUGUCGCGUCUGCUGUGAAAUCCCGAGGCUCAACCUCGGGUCUGCAGUGGGUACGGGCAGACUAGAGUGCGGUAGGGGAGAUUGGAAUUCCUGGUGUAGCGGUGGAAUGCGCAGAUAUCAGGAGGAACACCGAUGGCGAAGGCAGAUCUCUGGGCCGUAACUGACGCUGAGGAGCGAAAGCAUGGGGAGCGAACAGGAUUAGAUACCCUGGUAGUCCAUGCCGUAAACGUUGGGAACUAGAUGUGGGGACCAUUCCACGGUCUCCGUGUCGCAGCUAACGCAUUAAGUUCCCCGCCUGGGGAGUACGGCCGCAAGGCUAAAACUCAAAGGAAUUGACGGGGGCCCGCACAAGCGGCGGAGCAUGCGGAUUAAUUCGAUGCAACGCGAAGAACCUUACCAAGGCUUGACAUAUACCGGAAACAUGCAGAAAUGUGUGCCCCGCAAGGUCGGUAUACAGGUGGUGCAUGGUUGUCGUCAGCUCGUGUCGUGAGAUGUUGGGUUAAGUCCCGCAACGAGCGCAACCCUCGUUCUAUGUUGCCAGCACGUAAUGGUGGGAACUCAUAGGAGACUGCCGGGGUCAACUCGGAGGAAGGUGGGGAUGACGUCAAAUCAUCAUGCCCCUUAUGUCUUGGGCUUCACGCAUGCUACAAUGGCCGGUACAAAGGGCUGCGAUACCGUAAGGUGGAGCGAAUCCCAAAAAGCCGGUCUCAGUUCGGAUUGAGGUCUGCAACUCGACCUCAUGAAGUCGGAGUCGCUAGUAAUCGCAGAUCAGCAACGCUGCGGUGAAUACGUUCCCGGGCCUUGUACACACCGCCCGUCAAGUCAUGAAAGUCGGUAACACCCGAAGCCAGUGGCCUAACCGCAAGGGAGGAGCUUCGAAGGUGGA